Molecule: long non-coding RNA, 657 nt
Filed under: Triticum aestivum (bread wheat)
Lineage: Eukaryota; Viridiplantae; Streptophyta; Magnoliopsida; Poales; Poaceae
Description: long non-coding RNA (TAES_LNC020972)
Source: RNAcentral
GACGACGUGGCCAUGGUGUCCAUGGCGCGCGUGGACUGGCGCGAGACCUCCGACUCCCACGAGAUCGUCGUCGACGUGCCAGGGAUGAGGAAGGAGGACCUAAAGGUGGAGAUCGAGGAGAACCGGGUGCUGCGGAUCAGCGGCGAGCGGCGGCGGGAGGUGGAAGAACGGAAGGGCGACCACUGGCACCGGGAGGAGCGCUCCUACGGCAAGUUCUGGCGCCAGAUGCGCCUCCCCGACAACGCGGACCUCGAUUCCAUCGCCGCGAGCCUUGACGCCGGCGUCCUCACCGUGCGCUUCCGGAAGCUGGCGCCCGAACAGAUCAAGGGCCCGCGCGUGGUUGGCAUCGCCGGGGGCGACGAUAGCUCCGCUGCCAAGAAGACCAUCGGCGACGCCGGUGCCGCUGGAGGCGAAGAGCGCCAGACCAAGAAAGUCGAGCUCUGAAUCCUGAACUCUGCACUGCGCAGAGUACCAAUGUUCUUACCACUUUCUAGUACGCGCUUGUCAGUUCCGCUUCUCAGUACAGCGUGUGGAAAAAUGUGAUGUACUAUUUUGAAUGUAAAAGCGACACUGAGUAGUCGAUUCACUCUAGCAUGUAAGAGAAGUUCACCGAGGAAAUAAGAAACCACAGAUCACUUUGUUUUGCCCGUGUUGAGA